CGGCUCAUCCCCUCCAAGCCCAUCCUCUCCAUACCCUUUAGUCUUAUAAAUUAAGAAUGAAAAUUUUCACCGCUCUAACUUCCUGCCCCAAAUUCCUUUCCUCUGUCAAAUUUGAAAUUUUUCAACCCUACCCGGCUAUCCCUACAUUCUCCUUACUCUGUUGUUUAUCGUUUCUGAUCCUCCCCAAAUGAUAGAUUUAUCAUCCCGCUUUUGUUCUCUACCACAUUUAACGACGGCAUCAUCUCAGCGGUAGUGGCUCAGCGAUGACAUUUUGGGUACUUCAUUUGUGGCCAAGGAUUCAAGUAUUGAAGCAACUGAAAAUCUAACAUUUGAAACUUCUAAAGUUUAACUAAAAACUUUGAUGUACUAUUUCAGGUCUUGAGAGGGAUCCACCUGAAGUAGUAGUGGAUAUCAGGUCUGAUGAGAAGUUUGUGAUAGAUUUGAAUUAAAGGGUUAUCAGAAAAAAAAACGUCUGAGGCGUCUGUAUUGAGGUGCGUCUCGAGGCAAGACGGGGAAAUCGUUUUUGAGGCGGCGCAUCGCUGGUUAAUUAUGUUGUAAAUCACAUGAAAACCCCCUGGAUCAUUUUGUCUUUUUAAAUGUUUCUAGUUAUAUUGUCUCAAAUAAUUCCACUCUCUAUAGUCGCAUACCCCAAUAGUAUUGACAAAAGAGAUCACUCUUGCAGUGUCAUUCUUGAUUCAUUUGAGCUUUGUUAAUUAGUUUCACUGGUAUAAUCGUUGUUUUUGUUCAUCACCGGUUCAUGAGAUGGAUUCCAAGAUUUUGAAGAACUAGAGGUAUGCAAGGAAGCACAUGAAAUAGAGUGGGAAAAUUUCUAUAGAAGAAUAUAUGUUUUCAGACUUUGACAGCUCUAGCAACUUCCUUUCAUGCGCUACAACCUUUGACAGAUUCUAUAUCUCGCUUUGUAUGGGUUAAGUUACUAAGUGACAUAAAAUUCCAGCCAAAACCAUGAGUAGAAAUGGUCAGAAGAGGUGGCCAUAGUUCCAACAUUUGAUGGUAGAAAUGUUUAACAGAGCCUUUCUUGAGGAACACUGAACUUGUAUCUUUACCAGAAUCAUACCAUCUGACAGACAUCAACAAAGCUUGGAGGCUCUGAUGUGGAGAGCUAUCAAACAACUAUCACUUGAAGAUCAAGACGAGUAGAAUAUUCUCUUUAUUAUUAGGAUGUUAUAUGUUGAUGUUAUAUAAUAACUAUUAGGAUGUUAUAUGUUGAUGGUCUAUUUAUAAAAUUGGUUUUAUAAUCUUAUUUGGGAU
Long non-coding RNA from Helianthus annuus (common sunflower), 1269 nucleotides. RefSeq lists it as uncharacterized. The transcript is spliced from 7 exons. NCBI's taxonomy places the organism in Eukaryota, Viridiplantae, Streptophyta, Magnoliopsida, Asterales, Asteraceae. The record is from RefSeq and is a predicted model, not a curated record.